UAAUAUAGAAUCAAGUCUUUCAGAUAAUACAUUCAAGUUUGAUGCAAAAAUAUGUGAAACAAAUGAAUGUGAGGCACCAGUAUCACUUAAAAUAUGUACAGAUGAUUGCAGAUAGUGUACGCAUCCUGUACUAGUCUGGGUUGACUUCUGCAUCUUAUUGAGUGAGGUUGUAAGCCCUUUCCUAGAUAGGAGGUCUGGUCUGGUUCUGAU
RNAcentral lists this long non-coding RNA (210 nucleotides) under Carica papaya (papaya). RNAcentral's name for it is "long non-coding RNA (CPAP_LNC007187)". Lineage: Eukaryota; Viridiplantae; Streptophyta; Magnoliopsida; Brassicales; Caricaceae. The record is from RNAcentral.